This 77-nucleotide transfer RNA is filed under the name Promethearchaeota archaeon. Its description in RNAcentral is "tRNA-Met". It matches the Rfam family "tRNA". Rfam says of the family: Transfer RNA (tRNA) molecules are approximately 80 nucleotides in length. Their secondary structure includes four short double-helical elements and three loops (D, anti-codon, and T loops). Lineage: Archaea; Promethearchaeati; Promethearchaeota. The record is from RNAcentral. RNAcentral also lists the same sequence under 3 other names.
GCCGCAGUAGCCUAGACUGGUGGGGCGCGAGACUCAUAAUCUCGAAGUCGAGGGAUCGAAGCCCUCCUGCGGCACCA